GCUUAGAAGCAGCCACCCUUGAAAGAGUGCGUAAUAGCUCACUGGUCAAGUGAUUGAGCGCCGAUAAUGUAGCGGGGCUAAGUACACCGCCGAAGUUGUGGCAGCAUCACGAUACUGUAAUGGUGUGGUGUUGGGUAGGGGAGCGUCGUGUCGCCAGUGAAGUCGCCGUGUGAACGAGUGGUGGAGGCGUCACGAGUGAGAAUGCAGGCAUGAGUAGCGAAAGACGGGUGAGAAACCCGUCCACCGGAUGACCAAGGGUUCCAGGGCUAGGCUAAUCCGCCCUGGGUAAGUCGGGCCCUAAGGCGAGGCCGACAGGCGUAGUCGAUGGACAACCAGUUGAUAUUCUGGUACCGACACACAACCGACAAUACCAAAACACAUGAGACUAACUCCCCGGUCCGCCCGUGGCGUCUUCGGAUGUCUGGUUGGUGGGUUGGUGAGGACCUGAGUGUGGAGUCGGUAAGCGUGAGGUGUGACGCAGAAAGGUAGCCAGGCCACGCGAUGGUAGUCGUGGUCUAAGGUCGUAGCAUGUGGGGGUAGGCAAAUCCGUCCCCACACAAGUGUGAGAGCUGAUGGGCGCCCCACAGUGGUGGGGUGAUCUGGUGAUCCUCUGCUGCCGAGAAAAGCAUCGACGUGAGGGUGUGUGUUGCCCGUACCCUAUAACCGACACAGGUGGUCAGGUAGAGAAUACUAAGGUGAUCGAGAGAAUCGUGGUUAAGGAACUCGGCAAAAUGCCCCCGUAACUUCGGGAGAAGGGGGGCCAUCCUGGUGAACGACCCUUGCGGUUGGGAGCUGGUGGUGGUCGCAGAGGCCAGAGAGAAGCGACUGUUUAUUAAAAACACAGGUCCGUGCGAAGAUGUAAGUCGAUGUAUACGGACUGACGCCUGCCCGGUGCUGGAA
RNAcentral lists this ribosomal RNA (900 nucleotides) under Burkholderia multivorans. Its description in RNAcentral is "bacterial LSU rRNA". It matches the Rfam family "Bacterial large subunit ribosomal RNA", at positions 1104 to 1874 of the family's 2925-position model. The record is from RNAcentral. Lineage: Bacteria; Pseudomonadati; Pseudomonadota; Betaproteobacteria; Burkholderiales; Burkholderiaceae.